CAACAUCUGACUCUGGGCUGGCCUGCGUCCACAAGGGGGUUUGGUGGGACUGACAUUGGGCCAGCCCUGGGCCUAGGCCUCAGGGAGACCUGCAGCUUUCUCUCAACGACUUUUGAACCCUGCCUUGGCUAGCCUGCUGGAUGAGGAGAGCCCAGGGCCUGGCUACCCGCUGUCCCAGCCAACAGUCUGCCAACUGCCCCUGCAGGGCUCCUGAGACGCUUGGAAUUUCCUGGGCGACAGGAGCAUCCUUUGUUCUAAUGAGGUGACUCUUCUCGGGCUCCCAGGUGGCUUCUGGAUGGGAGCCCGUCACUGGAAAGACCAAGCCGUGAUUAGAAGCAUGGAACUUUCAGCCCCGCCCCAUCCUCCAGGUGGGCGAGAGGGGCUGGAGACUGAGCAGGUGUUCAGUUAGCCUGCGUGAUGAAGGUUCCAUAAAAGUCCCUAAACCACAGGGUCCGGAGAACUUCCAGUGGGAGAGAGGAGAGGCGGCCAGGAGCCUAUUUCGUGAAUAUGGAAAUGAAAAUGCAGCGUGAUGGAUCCCAGGUCAGCUGUGGGCACUUGUUUUCCAGGAACUGAUGGUGGACCCCUCGUCCAGUCCAGACCAGUUGAGACCACCCACCUAUCAACUGGGCCUGCAAGAAUGAUAGGUGACCUUUGACCUCGAGGUGAAAAUUCUACCUUCAGGUCACACUAACGCCACCAUUCUGUGAACGUGUGUCCCGUGAAGAGCCGGGAAGCUCGACUGCAUUUGCACAGAACAUCGAUUGCCUCCCUCUCCUCACCUCGGUCAUCUGUCCUCACACUUCAAACCACCCUGCCCCCUCUCCCAUAAACAUCCCUCAUCCUUAUUUUUGAGGAGGUGGAUCUGAGACUUGUUCUCUUGUCUCCUUGCUUGGCUGCCUUGUGAAGAAAUCCUUUCUCUGCUGUGAAACUCAGCGUCUCGGUGAUCGGCAUACUGUGCGGCAGGCAGGACGAGCCUGGGUCAGCACAUGAGGGGCGGGUGGACCCAGCAGCCUGCACAUUGCUGUCCGACUGGCUGUAGCCCUGCAAAGAUGUACCAUCUUCCCUAAAAGCCCCACGCAUCUCCCUCUUGUGGUGGGUGUUGGGCCAGCCAGGGGAGUGAGGUUAUUUGUGACUCCAUUUCCCAGGAAUAGGAUACAGGGAUGUCCUACGGAUUCAGUGAGAUGAUGUCGGCAGCUGGCCUUGCACUCAGCACACACUCGAAGACUGUGGCACGUGUUACUGUCCUGAGGGCUCACCGCUCACCAGAUCAGCUCAGCCUCCCGUUAAAACCAGUCUCUCCUGGUUGGAAGAGUUGCGGCAAGUCCUGUUGUGCCUUGAAGUUGAUCAGGGAGCACCUGUCUCUUUGGUCAGUGUCCCAGGGAAGGCCAGGGAAAGGAAAAUGCCCACAGAGGCCAACGGGGGCCACCGUCUGUUUUUGUAAAUAAAGUU
This 1449-nucleotide long non-coding RNA is filed under the name Equus asinus (donkey). RNAcentral's name for it is "lncRNA (ENSEASG00005030576.1)". The record is from RNAcentral. Lineage: Eukaryota; Metazoa; Chordata; Mammalia; Perissodactyla; Equidae.